GCCUCUUGGACUGGGACAACUGUUGGAAACGACAGCUAAUACCGGAUAUUAUGAGAUUCUCGCAUGAGAAACUUAUGAAAGCUAUAUGCGCCAAGAGAGAGCCUUGCGUUCCAUUAGCUAGUUGGUGGGGUAACGGCCCACCAAGGCGACGAUGGAUAGCCGGCCUGAGAGGGUGAACGGCCACAAGGGGACUGAGACACGGCCCUUACUCCUACGGGAGGCAGCAGUGGGGAAUAUUGGACAAUGGACCAAAAGUCUGAUCCAGCAAUUCUGUGUGCACGAUGAAGGUCUUCGGAUUGUAAAGUGCUUUCAGUUGGGAAGAAGCAAGUGACGGUACCAACAGAAGAAGCGACGGCUAAAUACGUGCCAGCAGCCGCGGUAAUACGUAUGUCGCAAGCGUUAUCCGGAUUUAUUGGGCGUAAAGCGCGUCUAGGCGGAAAAAUAAGUCUGAUGUUAAAAUGCGGGGCUCAACUCCGUAUUGCGUUGGAAACUGUUUUUCUAGAGUACUGGAGAGGUGGGCGGAACUACAAGUGUAGAGGUGAAAUUCGUAGAUAUUUGUAGGAAUGCCGAUGGAGAAGUCAGCUCACUGGACAGAUACUGACGCUGAAGCGCGAAAGCGUGGGGAGCAAACAGGAUUAGAUACCCUGGUAGUCCACGCCGUAAACGAUGAUCACUA
RNAcentral lists this ribosomal RNA (676 nucleotides) under uncultured bacterium. Its description in RNAcentral is "bacterial SSU rRNA". It matches the Rfam family "Bacterial small subunit ribosomal RNA", at positions 128 to 818 of the family's 1533-position model. The record is from RNAcentral.